RNAcentral lists this small RNA (29 nucleotides) under Bombyx mori (domestic silkworm). Its description in RNAcentral is "ovarian small RNA-19454". The record is from RNAcentral. Lineage: Eukaryota; Metazoa; Arthropoda; Insecta; Lepidoptera; Bombycidae.
UAAGUUAUCGGAGCCUCUACGAGCGAUGU